Molecule: ribosomal RNA, 497 nt
Filed under: uncultured bacterium
Lineage: Bacteria
Description: partial 16S ribosomal RNA
Rfam family: Bacterial small subunit ribosomal RNA
Source: RNAcentral
GAUGAACGCUGGCGGCGUGCCUAACACAUGCAAGUCGAGCGAACAGACGAAGCUUUCUCUCCGCUUACGUGGCCGACGGGUGGGUAAGUCAUACGUAGCUAACCUUUCUAUAUGGCUUAGGUCAGGUCAGGAGAGCCGAUCUCAUACCGGAUAAGAUAUUGAACCGGAUGGUUCUUUAGAGAUAGACCGUUUUGCUGUGACUUAUAGGCGUAUCCGCGCCGCAUUAGCUAGUUGGUACGGUAACGCCUUACCAAGGCAACGAUGCGUGGCCGACGUGAGAGGGUGAUCGGCCACCCUGGAACUGGGACACGGUCCAGACGCCUGCGGGAGGCAGCAGUAGGGAAUCUUAGGCAAUGGGCGAAAGCCUGGCACAGCGACGCCGCGUGUGUGAUGAAGGUCUUCGGAUCGUAAAGCUCUGUUAGUGGGGAAGAACAGAUGUGAGUGUAAAUGUGGCCGUCUUGACGGUACCUACAGAAAAAGCACCGGCUAACUACGUG